Molecule: long non-coding RNA, 509 nt
Organism: Anolis carolinensis (green anole)
Lineage: Eukaryota; Metazoa; Chordata; Lepidosauria; Squamata; Anolidae
Exons: 4
Source: RefSeq, a predicted model, not a curated record
GGGAAGGAGACAGCCAAGAUCUGGACUGGAGGAAGCCGCAGAGAGGGGGAGCAAGGAGAGGAGGCAGGCGCAGACCUGGAUCCGGAGUCGGAGCGGUCCUGAAAGCUAGGCAACUUCUGCCACUUAUGGAUGAGAUGCUGCAUUAUCAUCAGGCCAAGCCCCCAAAUCAUGAAACAAAACUGAGUUUCAGCAUGAACUGUGAUAAGGAGGAUCACUAUGUUGGGACUACCUUCAGACUAGCAAAAUAUUGAUCCGAGAGAUGAAGAAUGCUUGAAGGGUCAGGAGUAUUCACACAAGGAAUAAAUCUGACUUCAGGAAUUGAGGCAUUCAUCAAAAUUUAAUAUGUUUCUUUAAAUGUGCAACAAAAACUGGAAAAGAAGAACAAAACAUAAAGCUUUUUAUAAGCUUCAGGCAAUAUCUGUACAUGACCUGGAUAAUCUUACACACACACACAAACUCCCCUCCAGUCCUACAAACAUGUAAGAAGUAAAAACUCUUGAAAUAAUAUA